Molecule: long non-coding RNA, 571 nt
Filed under: Anser brachyrhynchus (Pink-footed goose)
Lineage: Eukaryota; Metazoa; Chordata; Aves; Anseriformes; Anatidae
Description: lncRNA (ENSABRG00000018656.1)
Source: RNAcentral
GUGACAUUGCCAGGCUGGACAGUAUUUACCAUAAUCAUCUGCAGGUCACAGAUAGGAAUUCUGAUGGACAUUCUGAGACAUGAAACAGUCAAGGCAUUUGUCCAAGGUCACACAGGAAGCCUGUUGCAGAGCUAGGAAUAAAACUGCUUCCCUACUCCAUCCUUACUAAUAUCUAUCCUUUCACUAAGUCACUCUACUGCCACAAGAUGGACUGCUUUCCCGUUAAAAAACAAAAACAAGAAAAUAUCAUUUUGGCACCAGCUGACAAUAAGGGCUGCAUGUAUCUGCUUCCUCUUGCUUCUCCGUAAUCUACAGCUGUUCACUCAGGUCAAGUUUGGUGACAGUGAACAACAUUUUCUGUGAAGCAGCUGCUGCUGGAGUCCUCGCUAGCUAGCAAAUUCAGCAUAAAGUGUGUGCCAGAAGUGCUCUGAGAAUCUGUGUAUGCCACGGCACGUCCAUCUGCUAUACACAACACAUGCCAGUCUCUUCAGUAUGCACUGAGAAGACAAGUCUGAAAUGUAGGGAAGCAGAAGGAAUUAAAUACAGAAUCUAAAUAAAACAUAUUGUAUAA